This 268-nucleotide ribosomal RNA is filed under the name uncultured bacterium. RNAcentral describes it as "partial 16S ribosomal RNA". It matches the Rfam family "Bacterial small subunit ribosomal RNA", at positions 1130 to 1397 of the family's 1533-position model. The record is from RNAcentral.
GCCGGGAACUCUAAGGAGACUGCCGGUGACAAACCGGAGGAAGGUGGGGACGACGUCAAGUCAUCAUGGCCCUUGCGAGUAGGGCUACACACGUGCUACAAUGGCCGGUACAAAGGGUUGCGAGCUCGCGAGAGUCAGCUAAUCCCGAAAAGCCGGUCUCAGUCCGGAUCGGAGUCUGCAACUCGACUCCGUGAAGUCGGAAUCGCUAGUAAUCGUGAAUCAGAAUGUCACGGUGAAUACGUUCCCGGGCCUUGUACACACCGCCCGU